RNAcentral lists this ribosomal RNA (444 nucleotides) under Leptotrichia hofstadii. RNAcentral's name for it is "bacterial SSU rRNA". It matches the Rfam family "Bacterial small subunit ribosomal RNA", at positions 28 to 488 of the family's 1533-position model. Lineage: Bacteria; Fusobacteriati; Fusobacteriota; Fusobacteriia; Fusobacteriales; Leptotrichiaceae. The record is from RNAcentral.
GAUGAACGCUGACAGAAUGCUUAACACAUGCAAGUCUUUGGCGAAUCUGUGCUUGCACAGGCUAGCCAAGGCGGACGGGUGAGUAACGCGUAAAGAACUUGCCCUGCAGACAGGGAUAACAGACGGAAACGACUGACAACACCUGAUACAGUUGCCGGCACGCAUGUGCCUGGCAAUGAAAAGAGAUGCUGCGGGAGAGCUUUGCGUCCUAUUAGCUUGUUGGCGGGGUAACGGCCCACCAAGGCGAUGAUAGGUAGCCGGCCUGAGAGGGUGAACGGCCACAAGGGGACUGAGAUACGGCCCUUACUCCUACGGGAGGCAGCAGUGGGGAAUAUUGGACAAUGGGGGCAACCCUGAUCCAGCAAUUCUGUGUGCACGAGGAAGGUUUUCGGAUUGUAAAGUGCUUUCAGCAGGGAAGAAGGAAGUGACGGUACCUGCAGAAGA